Long non-coding RNA from Anopheles coustani, 1629 nucleotides. RefSeq lists it as uncharacterized. The transcript is spliced from 3 exons. NCBI's taxonomy places the organism in Eukaryota, Metazoa, Arthropoda, Insecta, Diptera, Culicidae. The record is from RefSeq and is a predicted model, not a curated record.
AGAAAUGUUUUAACCUAGCAUUUCAAAUAAAUAUAUUAAAGGCUUAUAAUAGUUCUUAAAACCUUCGAAAUUGGUAUCGUGUAAUUAAAAGUGGAUUUACAAAAUAAGUGCUAAAAAUUGAUUAAAAUAACUUUUAAAGCGCGAAAUUCUGGCGUCCCCAAGCAAACCGGGUAUGAUGGUGUGUGUGUCAUUUCAGUAAUCGGUCGAUUGUACCGGGUUUGGUACAAAUACGGGCGACCGAGCCGUAGCUGCUGUCAUUCGUGUGCUGGAAAUGGAAGAGUGAAGUGUACGUACGGUUGGUGCAGAGUGGCGUGUUCUGCAAAUGGUGGAUAGGCGUCUGCUGUAAGAAAAGUGAGAAUUUAGCAAGGAAACGCGGUGCUAUUUUCGGGCGGCUAGAUGUAGUUAAGGCGUGAAGAAAAGCCGGUACAGUGAAAUGUGCAAAACCACCUAGUCCUAGAAUGAAAGUACGACAGUUGAAUCUUUCGAGAAAACGUGUAACAUCUCGUCACCAAGAUGGCGUCGCUGAGGGCGUUUUCACGCCGCCGGAUGGAGGCGAGACACAUUUUCGUUCAGCACACGAAUCGAUCUGCGUUGGACUGCAAUAUCUUGAAUUGCAUUACAAUGCAUUAUUUCCGGCGCUGGUGCUGACCUUUGAGGUUAGGUAGGCUAGCCUGAGGAACUUUAUCUCGGCUUGCUAACCUAGCAGCCAACAAGCACCGGUUCUACAUUUUAUCGUUCUGCACGUGAGGUGGUUCCGUGUUAUGCGAUUUGACGACCCAUGGACAUCGCUGGGCCUACGGAUGGAGGAGUGUUCACAUUUUCCUGGGAUGUGCAGAGCCGGCACCACGGACAUCGCUAGUACGUCAUCGGUAUUGUUAUCGCAACAUAUUCGUCGGCGACAUGGUGUUCCGCGCAUGCCUGCUGCUGUUGUGCGUGUCGUCGUGUCAUACCGUGAGAUGCCUCAUGUGUGAGAGCGAGUGUAGAAUUAUCCAAGCAACCUCUAAUAUUUCUUUCAAAAUCAUACUAAAAUAUCAUUGAUAAAGACAUCCGUAGCGAAGCGAGCUACUUGUGUAGGCAACCACUAAAAUUUCUCAAUAUUUUCUAUACCCUAAAUUUUUGCAAACUGAUAGGUGUCAUCAAUUGUAGGGAUGCUAGAAUAUCGAGCAUAGCAAGAGCAUGGCGCUCUAGUUAUCGUUCUCGCAAAAGUCAUCAUGCCGAGAAGUAAUUCAAAUUACGUAAACAUUAGACAAACAAUAAGCAACCACCAACAUUUCUUUCAAAAUCAUACUAAAAUAUCAUUCAUCAAAAGUUCGCCGUAUGUGGCAGCUUUUUUCUGAUAUCGCUUUGUACAGUUUGCGUGCAUUCUGCUACAGAGAUUUGGUAUUACAAUACAAAACACGGAAAUUAAAAUGCAGUGCUUUCUCUUAAACUUUGUGGGACGUGAUAUUAUCACUACGGAAACAUUUCCUUGAUAGGUCUAAAUCUGUAAAAUAGUGGUACGCUCGUCCUUUUGGGUGGUAUUUCAGAGUACCGAGGAUACUCGACAGGAGAGUUCAAUCGAACCUUGUGGGAUGUGAUAUUAUCACUACAGAACAAUUCCUUGAUCAGUGAAUAAAACCGAUGUGCGUA